This is a long non-coding RNA of Acanthaster planci (crown-of-thorns starfish), 604 nucleotides long. The record is from RefSeq and is a predicted model, not a curated record. Lineage: Eukaryota; Metazoa; Echinodermata; Asteroidea; Valvatida; Acanthasteridae.
CAGAAAUGCUUGGUCAAUUUUUGAUGUUUGAAGAAGGGCACGGUUCAGUUCACGUAAUCUCAAGAAAGAUGUCAAGCAGUCAUGGCAGUCUUCAUACAUGGAAGAAGGGUAUAGAGAUAAACAAAAAGGGAUUCUACGAAAAAUUCAUUUCCUGGAUCCUUUAACUUUUCUUUUACAGCGAAAGACUGGUGGUCUGAGGGUUUAUAAUAAUCUGUGCCUGUGUGCUGCCGCCCACACGGCGCCGUGUGUGCACAAAAUGGGAAAACGGCGACAAGGUUUUGAACGGUCCAUGGUAAAGGAAGAAGUCAUUAAGAGAAGAUGAUGGAGCAAGGAGUGGCCAAUGAGUGGGCAGCAUCAAUGGAGAGCACAGAACCUGACUCAGACAAGUUUAGCCUCACAGAAAAUGAUGAAGAUGACUCUGAUGUUAGCUGUAGCACAGACAGUGAAGGUGUUAAAGGCAAUCUAUAGCAGCAUGGUUGGUCCCCUGCCCGUGGGCUGAUCUUCUCGCAUCACUGGCCCGAUAGAAUAAGGCGAUAGCAGCGUGGUUGUUUCCCUGCCUGUGGGCUCAUCUUCUGGCAUCGCUGGCCUGAUGGAGUAAGGUGAU